UACGGAGGGUCCAAGCGUUGUCCGGAUUUAUUGGGUUUAAAGGGUACGUAGGCGGGAUUUUAAGUCAGCGGUGAAAGCCUCCAGCUCAACUGGAGAACUGCCAUUGAAACUGAAAUUCUUGAAUAUGGAUGAGGUGGUUGGAAUAUAACAUGUAGCGGUGAAAUGCUUAGAUAUGUUAUAGAACACCAAUUGCGAAGGCAGAUCACUAAACCAUUAUUGACGCUGAGGUACGAAAGCGUGGGGAGCGAACAGG
RNAcentral lists this ribosomal RNA (253 nucleotides) under uncultured bacterium. RNAcentral's name for it is "partial 16S ribosomal RNA". It matches the Rfam family "Bacterial small subunit ribosomal RNA", at positions 524 to 776 of the family's 1533-position model. The record is from RNAcentral.